GACGGAGGAUGCAAGUGUUAUCCGGAAUUACUGGGCGUAAAGUGUGCGCAGGCGGCCGAGCAAGUCGAGUGUGAAAGCCCCGAGCUUAACUUGGGAACUGCGCUCGAAACUACUUGGCUAGAGUGUGGCAGAGGGAGGUGGAAUUCCACGUGUAGCGGUGAAAUGCGUAGAGAUGUGGAGGAACACCGACGGCGAAGGCAGCCUCCUGGGCCAACACUGACGCUCAUGCACGAAAGCGUGGGGAGCAAACAGG
RNAcentral lists this ribosomal RNA (253 nucleotides) under uncultured bacterium. RNAcentral's name for it is "partial 16S ribosomal RNA". It matches the Rfam family "Bacterial small subunit ribosomal RNA", at positions 524 to 776 of the family's 1533-position model. The record is from RNAcentral.